This 303-nucleotide ribosomal RNA is filed under the name uncultured bacterium. RNAcentral's name for it is "partial 16S ribosomal RNA". It matches the Rfam family "Bacterial small subunit ribosomal RNA", at positions 507 to 807 of the family's 1533-position model. The record is from RNAcentral.
AGCAGUCGCCGCGGUAAUACAGAGGGUGCAAGCGUUAAUCGGAAUUACUGGGCGUAAAGCGCGCGUAGGUGGUUUGUUAAGUUGGAUGUGAAAUCCCCGGGCUCAACCUGGGAACUGCAUCCAAAACUGGCAAGCUAGAGUAUGGUAGAGGGUGGUGGAAUUUCCUGUGUAGCGGUGAAAUGCGUAGAUAUAGGAAGGAACACCAGUGGCGAAGGCGACCACCUGGACUGAUACUGACACUGAGGUGCGAAAGCGUGGGGAGCAAACAGGAUUAGAUACCCCCGUAGUCCCUGUCUCUUAUAC